AGAGGCUUAGGAUAAUCACAAACCAGGGGCCUUCAAAGCCUCAGACAGGGGCCUAAUCCCCCUAGCCUUUG
This 71-nucleotide transfer RNA is filed under the name Sceloporus malachiticus. RNAcentral's name for it is "tRNA-Trp". It matches the Rfam family "tRNA". From Rfam's summary of the family: Transfer RNA (tRNA) molecules are approximately 80 nucleotides in length. Their secondary structure includes four short double-helical elements and three loops (D, anti-codon, and T loops). Lineage: Eukaryota; Metazoa; Chordata; Lepidosauria; Squamata; Phrynosomatidae. The record is from RNAcentral.